UACAGAGGUCUCGAGCGUUGUUCGGAUUCAUUGGGCGUAAAGGGCGCGUAGGCUGCGGGGCAAGUCGGGUGUGAAAUCUCAGAGCUCAACUCUGAAACUGCAUUCGAUACUGCCGUGCUUGAGGACUGGAGAGGAGACUGGAAUUUACGGUGUAGCGGUGAAAUGCGUAGAUAUCGUAAGGAAGACCAGUGGCGAAGGCGGGUCUCUGGACAGUUCCUGACACUGAGGCACGAAGGCCAGGGGAGCAAACGGG
RNAcentral lists this ribosomal RNA (253 nucleotides) under uncultured bacterium. RNAcentral describes it as "partial 16S ribosomal RNA". It matches the Rfam family "Bacterial small subunit ribosomal RNA", at positions 524 to 776 of the family's 1533-position model. The record is from RNAcentral.